Long non-coding RNA from Chinchilla lanigera (long-tailed chinchilla), 608 nucleotides. RefSeq lists it as uncharacterized. The transcript is spliced from 3 exons. The record is from RefSeq and is a predicted model, not a curated record. NCBI's taxonomy places the organism in Eukaryota, Metazoa, Chordata, Mammalia, Rodentia, Chinchillidae.
CAGGAAUCAAACUCAGGACCUUGUGCUUGCCAGGCAGGCGUUGCACUGCUUAGCAAUAUCCCUGGACCCCAGAUAUCUCUUUGGUCGCAAAAUUGAAGCUAUUAGUGGUAAAGCGUGGAGGCGAGACUUACUUCUUCCUGGGAUGGUACCGUUCCCCGCUGCGCUCUGGUGCGACCGUCUCAGCACCGCGCUAGGGAGGAGCGGAACCCGGAAAAUGUGAACUCACGGGGAAGAAAUGAUCUCCUUCAGGAAGAUUUCCUUGCCUUUUGAAACUGUGCUAAGAAUAAAUUUGAUCUGCUAUGUACAUAGCUACGUGUGGAACAAAAUCCUCAUGCCUGGCACCUAAACCUUGUCCACGUGCUUCCAGAAAAUUAUUCUUCAAGACAGUGAAUGUCCUACCCCUUAGUGCAGGAGGAAAGUGACCUGCGAUUUCAAUUUUUCUCAUGCACGUAGGAGCCAUUCAUUAGCUAAAUCUCAAUUGUGUUCCAAAAAUUUGAAUGGAACGGACCUGUAUUGUGCCCCAAUGUCCCAGCUGCUUACAGCGGAAGAAAUUUAAUCAAAGAAAGAAAAGAGACUGAAGUUUGCCAAACUAACCCACUGUAGUGGGU